GAGUUUGAUCCUGGCUCAGGACGAACGCUGGCGGCGCGCCUAACACAUGCAAGUCGAACGGAGCUUAGAGGAGCUUGCUUUUUAAGCUUAGUGGCGAACGGGUGAGUAACGCGUGAGUAACCUGCCCUAGAGUGGGGGACAACAGUUGGAAACGACUGCUAAUACCGCAUAAGCCCACGGUACCGCAUGAUACUGAGGGAAAAGGAUUUAUUCGCUUUAGGAUGGACUCGCGUCCAAUUAGCUAGUUGGUGAGGUAACGGCCCACCAAGGCGACGAUUGGUAGCCGGACUGAGAGGUUGAACGGCCACAUUGGGACUGAGACACGGCCCAGACUCCUACGGGAGGCAGCAGUGGGGGAUAUUGCACAAUGGGGGAAACCCUGAUGCAGCGACGCCGCGUGGAGGAAGAAGGUUUUCGGAUUGUAAACUCCUGUCGUUAGGGACGAUAAUGACGGUACCUAACAAGAAAGCACCGGCUAACUACGUGCCAGCCGCCGCGGUAAUUC
Molecule: ribosomal RNA, 505 nt
Filed under: uncultured bacterium
Lineage: Bacteria
Description: bacterial SSU rRNA
Rfam family: Bacterial small subunit ribosomal RNA
Source: RNAcentral